AUUGAACGCUGGCGGCAUGCCUUACACAUGCAAGUCGAACGGCAGCACGGGAGCUUGCUCCUGGUGGCGAGUGGCGAACGGGUGAGUAAUAUAUCGGAACGUACCCUAGAGUGGGGGAUAACGUAGCGAAAGUUACGCUAAUACCGCAUACGAUCUACGGAUGAAAGUGGGGGAUCGCAAGACCUCAUGCUCAUGGAGUGGCCGAUAUCUGAUUAGCUAGUUGGUGGGGUAAAAGCCUACCAAGGCGACGAUCAGUAGCUGGUCUGAGAGGACGACCAGCCACACUGGAACUGAGGCACGGUCCAGACUCCUACGGGAGGCAGCAGUGGGGAAUUUUGGACAAUGGGGGCAACCCUGAUCCAGCAAUGCCGCGCGAGUGAAGAAGGCCUUCGGGUUGUAAAGCUCUUUUGUCAGGGAAGAAACGGUUCAGGCUAAUAUCCUGGGCUAAUGACGGUACCUGAAGAAUAAGCACCGGCUAACUACGUGCCAGCAGCCGCCGCCG
This 502-nucleotide ribosomal RNA is filed under the name uncultured bacterium. RNAcentral describes it as "partial 16S ribosomal RNA". It matches the Rfam family "Bacterial small subunit ribosomal RNA", at positions 30 to 523 of the family's 1533-position model. The record is from RNAcentral.